GGGGGCGUUUUGGGAUUCGACGGGGAUAGUUCGAGCGUCAGUAGCGAGCCGAGGGGUUGCGUUUCUCGUUAAUCACGCAAACGCCAAUUCAACUGGCAAACAAGAUAAUUUUGCACUUGCUGCCUAAUUAGGCAGUGAGGAUCCGCUUCUCCAUCGCCUGUGUGGAGCUGCCGGGUCUCAAACUUAAGCAGGCUAGCUGACCGAUAUGCCACUGAUCGGAAAGCGAACUAAUAGUGGCUGGUCUUUAAAAUCGCCUGUCACUGGGCAGUUUUAAAGACGAGACUAUCGUACAGUGACUGCGCUCGGAGAAUCUGGCGUGGCGAUGUCUUCGGACAGCGGUUCAAAUCCGCUCGCCUCCACCA
Molecule: transfer-messenger RNA, 362 nt
Filed under: Thermoactinomycetaceae
Lineage: Bacteria; Bacillati; Bacillota; Bacilli; Caryophanales
Also listed under: 1 other name
Description: IB182353 sp014773435 Standard tmRNA
Rfam family: transfer-messenger RNA
About the family: Bacterial tmRNA, also known as 10Sa RNA or SsrA, is named for its dual tRNA and mRNA-like properties. Its role is to liberate the mRNA from a stalled ribosome.
Source: RNAcentral